UACGUAGGGACCAAGCGUUGUUCGGAUUUACUGGGCGUAAAGGGCGCGUAGGCGGCGCAACAAGUCACUUGUGAAAUCUCCGGGCUUAACUCGGAGCGGUCAAGUGAUACUGUCGUGCUAGAGUGCGGAAGGGGCUACUGGAAUUCUCGGUGUAGCGGUGAAAUGCGUAGAUAUCGGGAGGAACACCAGUGGCGAAGGCGGUUACCUGGAGCUUUGCUGACGCUGAUGCGCGAAAGCGUGGGGAGCGAUCCGG
This 253-nucleotide ribosomal RNA is filed under the name uncultured bacterium. RNAcentral describes it as "partial 16S ribosomal RNA". It matches the Rfam family "Bacterial small subunit ribosomal RNA", at positions 524 to 776 of the family's 1533-position model. The record is from RNAcentral.